Molecule: ribosomal RNA, 253 nt
Filed under: uncultured bacterium
Lineage: Bacteria
Description: partial 16S ribosomal RNA
Rfam family: Bacterial small subunit ribosomal RNA
Source: RNAcentral
UACGGGGGGGGCAAGCGUUGUUCGGAAUUACUGGGCGUAAAGCGCACGUAGGCGGAUUGUUAAGUCAGGGGUGAAAUCCCGGGGCUCAACCCCGGAACUGCCUUUGAUACUGGCAUUCUCGAGUCCGGAAGAGGUGAGUGGAAUUCCGAGUGUAGAGGUGAAAUUCGUAGAUAUUCGGAGGAACACCAGUGGCGAAGGCGGCUCACUGGUCCGGAACUGACGCUGAGGUGCGAAAGCGUGGGGAGCAAACAGG